GCACAAAGCAAGGAAGUUUAUUGUUUCACCUUCCACUGUGCUCUAGGAAAUCUAGACUGCUCAGAUCAUUUUUAUCAUCAGUGGAGAUGGAAAACUGAUACUUCUAGAUUACUGUAUUUCACCAGGCCUAGGAUUUCCCAUCAAAACCUAAUUGUUAUUUUAAAAAAAUGCAAUAAAAAAUAAAGGAAAUGAUUGGGGAAAUUGCUCGUUGACCACUCUGGUGAUAAAGAAAAGACUUUUUUAAGAGCAGCACAUCUUGUGAGAUGACAUGCAGCCUUCCUCAUCAAGAGUCUGCAAGAGCCAAUUUAAUGAAGGUGGAAGUAUGCCUGUUGCAACUGGGCGAGCUUUUUAAUACUGCUGCCAAGAAGACAGAAAAACUGAAAAUUCUGUGUCAAUCUUUCAAAACAAUAGUUGCAGCAACAAAAAAAUCAACAUCUGUUACGUGUUUUUCCUUUGUUUCUUCUAAUCGAUCCAGCAAAUCUUUGCCAAACAUUUGCAGUGUGCCGUAGAAAUGUCACUUGAGGGUGAAAAAGAGUGUCACUUUAUAAGUAAAUGUCAUUUGCAAGUAAAUACCAUUGACUAGUGAGGAAAACUAACUCUAAGAAAUGAAGCUGAGUGGCUAAAUGGCUGAUGAUACAAACAAGAAGCAGAGCAUAUAAUGAAGAUUCAAGUUAAUUUGUACUCCAUCUGUCUGUUGUCCUAACAAUAGUAGAUGGUGAUGGAGGUGAUAGUAAUGGGUUUCCAGAUCAUCUCAGGUUGAAGCUCUACCACCGAACAAAUAUCUGCAGUGAGUAAUAAUGCUUCCACCUUCAUCAGUCGUGGCAAUUGAAAUGCCUCUCCUUUUCCCUUUCUUUUUCUUUCAUUAAGUCUCGAGUUUUGUAGAGUUCUCAGAUAAUAUCUGUCUCUGUUGUUCUAACCUUGCCUCUCCUUUUGUGCCCUUCAGUUCUGGAUCUCCUUUACACUCGCUCAUCUACCCUAAACGUGAUGUCCAGCUGGUACUCUCAUCCACCUGCAUUACUUCUGAACAUUUCAGCUGCUCUAGAAUGCCAUUAUUCCUAUCUGCAUGCGUGCACCCCCAAAGAAGAAAUGAGUGUGUAAACUUAUUUACCCAUGCCAACAAAUUAAUCACAAAGCUUGCUAAGACUUGGCAAACAGAAUUCAUAUCUUAUGUCUUCAGUGGGUAUAGAAGAUCUCUGAGACUUUGUAACAUACUUUGUGCUGUGAGCUUUAUUAUUUUAAGACUGCCUAUUCAAAAGCUACUUGUCAAAACAUCUACAGAAUCUAUGUUCAAAGAAAUGACUGACAAGAAGAAUGAGUAUUGAUAUUUGUUUUAGCUUUUAAGAUAGAAAGAAUAUGAUAAGCUUAACUGAUUCACAUAAAUUCAUAAGGAAGAUUUUUAAUGAAAUGUAUCUAGUUAUGUCUGUUUAUUCUAUCUUCAUCUUCCUCAUUUGUUCUUUCAUUCUGUUUCUUGAAAGUCCCAUAUCUCUUUUCUAUUCUUUCAAACAUCCUAUCUAGGUUAAUUGUUGCAGAUUUUAGGAAUAAGUAUGUGUAAGUUUUCAAAGUGGCACUGAUGUCAGUAUUAUUCAGAAGAAAGGAACAAAUCUGGAGAGGUGCUAGCAACACACACAAAAAUUGUUAGUAUCCUAUUUAAGGCAAAUUUAAUCUGCAGCUAUACUGGAGAAAAUAUGUUUACCUACAGUAUUUUAAAGUGAUAUGAAAAAGAUGUGGAGGUUCUACCUUCACACUAGCUCUUCCCUAAGAAUCUCAAUCCUUUGCCAAGUAAUUUUCACACAAAUAUGAAAAUCAAUACAUCAUGCUUUUUUCUUUUUUUUUUUUUUUUUUGCCUUCUGCCAUCCAGCCUCCCAUUCUUUUCAACACAUUUAUCUAUUCUUUACAUCUUCCACCUUGCACAUUUUCUGCCUUAAACUUUCACUUCUGCUCUGCUUUACUUACAGUUCUGGGGGCAAAACUUUUUUGUAACUUGGAAAUUUUGUAAUACAAACUCCUCCUUCUCUUCCUCAAAACUGAUAUUUUUGGAACAGAGAAAAAUUCUCAUUUCUCAAAGAAAAGAAGCACUGUUUUUAAGCUCCAAACUCCCUACUCUCCUUCUUUGAUAAAAGACACAAGAGGAAGGUGGGAGUAAUGUCCUUGCUUCCUGUAGAAGCUUUCAUUAGCUCUUCCUCCCUUGAGUAUCAAGCAUAGAAGGCAUCCUACAGAGUUUGGCUUUUUUUUCCCUGCCCUUCUUACAGGUUGUAUUAAUAAUAUAGUUAUCUAGGCAAUUUUGCUUUCUAUAAAUUUUAUUUCCAGGAUCUGCCAUUUGGCUCACCUUAAGCAGUAUAUACAUGUCUAUUUGUACAAGGGAAUACCAUAUAAUUGGCAAAUGAAAAAGAGACACCAGGAAAACUGUAGGUUUCUGUAUAAAUUGUGUGCCCAAAAAAAAACCAUACUCAGUAUUUAGUGCUGCUAGUGACAUUCCCAAAUUACACAUCUGUUCUUUUGGUUUACAUUUUAGGGGACCAGGCAGCAAAUGGAAAACACAGCGAGACAUUCAAAAGAGGACUAUUCUCCCUUCUAAAACUAUGUAGGAUCCACUAAAAAUCCUGACUGCUGACAAUCACACAUGAUAGCAUUGUUUAUGAGUAAAACACUGAAUGAAAUGCACUACUGUUUAGGCACUUAGUAAUGUCAGUAAUCUCUGGUACAGAUGAUGGGUAAUUCGAAGAGUGAAUCAGUCCAGCUGUAAGUUCUCUUAAUUCCUUCUGCUGCAGAAAGAUUUUCCCUUUAUUCUCACUAAUCUGUAAGUUUACAGGAUAAGCUAUAAAAAAAUGGAAGCAAGAUGGGCCACAUAAAAACAAACCUAAACAAACAAACUAAAAAAAAAAAACUAAAAAACUAAAAUAUCCCUAUGAUUUAGUAAGCAUCUUUAGAGAUCACCCUUAAACAAUUUACUCAGACUGUCAGAUGAUAGCUUUUUCUUCAGAUCCAUCCAUACCCUAGUUUUGUCUGUUAUUUCAGUCUUUUUCCAUAAAACACAAGAACGUGAUCCUCAACUAUUGAUUCUGAUGGGUUCUUGGUUACUCACCCUCAUUGUGACUUGCAUGUUUUGCUG
Dromaius novaehollandiae (emu) is the source of this 3109-nucleotide long non-coding RNA. RefSeq lists it as uncharacterized. Lineage: Eukaryota; Metazoa; Chordata; Aves; Casuariiformes; Dromaiidae. The transcript is spliced from 3 exons. The record is from RefSeq and is a predicted model, not a curated record.